GUGGGGAAUAUUGGACAAUGGGCGAAAGCCUGAUCCAGCAAUGCCGCGUGAGUGAUGAAGGCCUUAGGGUUGUAAAGCUCUUUUACCAGGGAUGAUAAUGACAGUACCUGGAGAAUAAGCUCCGGCUAACUCCGUGCCAGCAGCCGCGGUAAUACGGAGGGAGCUAGCGUUGUUCGGAAUUACUGGGCGUAAAGCGCACGUAGGCGGUUACUCAAGUCAGAGGUGAAAGCCCGGGGCUCAACCCCGGAACUGCCUUUGAAACUAGGUAACUAGAAUCUUGGAGAGGUCAGUGGAAUUCCGAGUGUAGAGGUGAAAUUCGUAGAUAUUCGGAGGAACACCAGUGGCGAAGGCGGCUCACUGGACCAUUACUGACGCUGAGGUGCGAAAGCGUGGGGAGCAAACAGGAUUAGAUACCCGAGUAGUCC
Molecule: ribosomal RNA, 425 nt
Filed under: uncultured bacterium
Lineage: Bacteria
Description: partial 16S ribosomal RNA
Rfam family: Bacterial small subunit ribosomal RNA
Source: RNAcentral